UGGAGGGGGGACCGCAUCCCGGCAGGGAUGGAGAGGGGAGCGGCAUCCCGGCAGGGAUGGAGAUGGGAGAGGCAUCCCGGCAGGGAUGGAGAUGGGAGAGGCAUCCCGGCAGGGAUGGAGAUGGGACCGCAUCCCGGCAGGGAUGGAGAUGGGACCGCAUCCCGGCAGGGAUGGAGAUGGGACCGCAUCCCGGCGGGGAUGGAGAUGGGACCGCAUCCCGGCGGGGAUGGAGAUGGGAGCGGCAUCCCGGCAGGGACGGGCAGGCACCGCGCCCCGCGCUCGGGGCCCGCGGCCGGGCUCUUCCUGGCAGCUGGAGACGGGCUUUGCUCUGUUCCGAGGGUGUAAAACUCCUUCCCAAACGCAGCAGUUCAAAGGCAGAGGGCUCCGGGGGUGAGCGCGGUCCCCCCUUCCCCGGCAGACGGGAGCGCGGGGCCGAGCUCCAGAUGUCCCCUUUGUCUCGGCACCAUUGUUUCCCAGCUCGGAGCAAUUCCCAUUCCUCACUGGCACGGGACGCUGUUUCCUGCGUCCGUUGUUGGUUUUUUUUUUUUAUUAUUUUUUUUUAAAUCGCUCUUAAUCGCGAGCCUAGUGGGGGCAUUUAGGUUCACAAUGAGCAAAAAGCCUCCUGGGUGAAAAAGCCGCAAUCUCCCCGGCUUUGAUGGCCUUGUUGGCCAGAAUGUGGGACUCCAGCAAACACUCUGCUCCAGCUCCAUUGAAACCAGAAAGGGCUGGCAAAUCCUGCGACGCUGGCCGGUGUUUGCUGAAGCCUUUGUUAACGUGUUAGAUAACCGAUUAAUCACAACUUCGAUAUUCAUAUGCAAAAUGUGCCUGGAGGACAAUUUAAUCAUUUAUUACGAGCACUUUAUGUAUUUACUUUCCCUUUCCCCUCCCGUCCGAGGAGCCGUGCUCAUUACCCGGGGGGUGCCCGCGGUGGGACGGGACACCGGGAGCCGCAUGGAAAAGGGGAAAACUGCACAAAGUUUCAGCCCACGCCGUGUUUUGGUGGGGAUUUGAAAGCCGGUGUGAUUAAAGUAAUUGAAAGGUUCUCUCUUAUUUUCCUUUCCCGUUCCUGUCUCGUCUUGUCACAUUAAAGGUUUUUAAGGACUUUAAUUAGGUGUGUUGGUUACGGAGCCGACAGAGAGCAGCCCCUUCCACGCCCAGAGCCUUGAUGGAAGAUGAUCACUGUGGCAGGUACAGCCUGCCAAGAUGAACCGGUAUAAAUUAACCAGGAAAGGUUAAAUUAGAGUAAAAUGAGGAUUGUAGACCAAUCUAGGAAGCAAAGUUAAUUCUGAGCCGGUGCUCUCAGCUGCAGCUGGGUGGACGACUCGGGAUUAGGAAGCCUUUCCAUGGGGAUCAUUGUUAAUAGUUUCUUUAAAAAUAAAUUCUGGUGUGGAAGGAUGAGUCAAGGCUGGGAACUGUCUGGGAGGACAGUGCGAGUCUUGUACAAAAUCUUAUUUUCCAAGCAGUGCAGAAAAGUGUAUUUUUUAAGCUCUGUGUAGAAAGCAAAGGUAACAAACACUUGUGAGGGCAACUAACAGGUCUGGGCCUGCUGAAUUCUGGGUAUCCCCAGGGGUGCUCUGGACCCUGUGGACUCCCCUGGGCUUAUUCCAGCCCAUUUGUGUCUUCCUUGCAUGACUCUUCCUGCCCCAGCACCUUCAUGGAUCCCGUGCCACUGCUCCCCAGCCACCCCAGGCAGCUGUUUUCCCCACGGGAUGUUGUCCCAGAGCAUCCCAGCACCAGGGACGACCUUGGCCACGACUCAUCUCAGACAUCCUGUCGUGGCAGCACCAGGUAUUUUGGAUGGACCCACCUGGUCAUGUUUUCAGUGGUCAUGACUGAAAAAAAUAGCAGUGUGAUAACAAUAUAUAAAUGGUUUUUUGUUAAUUUUUAUAUUUAAAUUACUAUACAGUACACAGGAAGACAGUAUUACCUGUGGAUUGCUCUUGUUCACUUUUUUAACUCUCCUAUAGUACUGUUGAACAGUGCAAGCAAGCAGAGAUUGAUCCUAUUCUUUACUUGAAUUAAAAAAAGAAUAAUCAUUGUUGUGUUUUCUCAGGAUGUCUGUUUGCUUUGAUAUUCAAUUACAGGGUUCAUUAAAUCAAGGGCCCCACCGCUAUAUUUCAUCUUUCCUUUGCUCUGUGAUGCUGUGGGGUGUGUUACACACACAGUGCAUGAGGCAAAAGCACGAGGCUGCCUCGUUGCCUGCGCUUCAGAACUAGAAUUUGCCACCUCAAAUCGGUGGGAAGUUGCAGUAUUCCCAAACCUGGAGCCUCACCCCUUGGCAGCACGUCCACAGCCGGCACUGCACCGGCGUGUGCUGCUCCCACACUCGGCUCUCCCGAGCUCUAAUAGCCAGGAAAAAUGUUUCUAAUUUGUUUGACGGUCUUUAAUCUGCCCCUUUGUUUGAGUGGUUGGUGUUGAAGUAUUUUUUCAAGGACUUUCGUGGUUGCUAUAGAUAUUUUAUUCCGUAACAAGGAUUACAUUGCGUGUAAUCCCGCGAAAAGAUACAGCAAUUAAUUUGAAAAUUGCUUAAGGAGUCGAUAAGUAUUUAAAACCUUAAUUACGUCUAACCUUGUUUUCUCUUGCAGCUCAGUCAGGCACAGCCUGGGGAGAGGGGGAAUGGCCUCGUGCCGUGUCAGCAUCACCUUCCCAGAGCCUCCCGGUGCCUCUGCCCCCACCAGCCGGGGCGGGAAGAGCCCGGAUCGGCCCCGCGGAGCUCCCGGGCGCGGGGAAGUCGUUCUUUAAAGCUCUGGAGAGAUGCAGUGCAUUUAUCAGCUCUGAGUGGAUAUCAUUGUGUUUAUAACAGAGUGGAGGCACCAUGCAAUUUUGCUCUUGAAAUUGGUUUAUAUAGAUGACUGGUUGCUGUGAAGUGUGUGUCAGAGUUGCAUGCAGCCGUUAUGAAGUAGUACAAUUGUCAUCGCUUCUUACAUGGUUGUUGAGAAGAGCUUGAGAGCCCAGCUCAGUCAGCUGUUGAAUAGAUAACCCAACACAGUUAACGUGGCAUACAUUGUAAAGAAUUACAUGCCUGCUACAAUGAGCUCUGGGCCUUUGGUCUAGAUAAUAAUCCUGGUGGGUGUACCACGUGUAGAGCCUGUCUGAUCGCUCAGAUAUGACUGACGAAACAGAAAGAAAAAUGUCAGUCUGCGAGAAGAAAAAUGCUGCUGUAAGUUUGUUUAAGGCUCACGCGCCGCCCGGGUUAACCCCAACCCUCCCGAAGGCUGUCAGGCCGCCUGUGCCUCUCCUGGGCUCCCUCCGAGGUGGCACCGGGGUCUGUCAGCUGCGAUGAGGGCUCUGGCCAUCUCUGCCCGCCGUGGUGGCCUCGUCUCCUCGGUUCCCAGCCAGCCCAGUCCCCGUGUCAGCUCAUGUUUGUGCCGCGGGAGCCUCGCGCCUCCGAGAAGGGGGAGCGUUCGCGGCUGCUUAAGUGCCGUGGCACAACUCAUCCCAGGGAACUGGAGUGAUAAUCGAGCUGGCAAUGGGGACUGGGCUGGGGGAGCAGUAAUUAAUACUGCUGGCAAAUUAGUGAGAUAAGUAAAUAAGUGGAGAUCAGCCCCUCGGCGGGGAGAUGAACGUGUGCGAGGGAUGCGGUCACGGCCCUGGGGCACCGCGGAGCUGGGGGAGGCCAAGGCCAGGGCUGAUGCUCUGCUUGGGUGCAGCAGCACCCAUGGCCAGCUCACCUCACCUGGGGAGGCUUUGCACUGGCCUUUGGCACCUCUAACCCCUUGUGCUGCUCCUGCAGGGUGUGAUGGAGCAUCCAUGGAUUGCACGUGUGAAGGACAGGGGCCACCAAGGUGUUCAUGCCCAUUGCCUGCCCGCUGCUGGAGGAGAAGGAGGGCUGAGCUCUCCUCCCAGGCUUUGCACAAACAGAUUUUUAAAUUUCUUUUGUGCUACAAAAUCGGUAUUUCCUUUAUACUUCCUGAUUUUUGUGCAUGCAUUUGGAGAGGAGGCAGUUUUGUAGCAAUACAGCUGCAUGUGCUGAAGCUGCUGCUGGGAUUCAUGAAUGACCUGCACGUGGUUUGAGCCAGUCCAGGCCUGGCCUUGGCAGGGUGAGGGCAGGGACACACCGUGGUGACAACUGUCCCUCAGGCACCAAUGGUGACGUCUGUCCAUGAGAAAUUCGGGGUUGCUGUGUCCGUGAGACUCUGUCUCCAGAGGCUGCUCUUUAUUUACCUCAGGGCUCAAAUACCACUGGACCAACUUGACACCUGAAAAUUGCAAUUUGACAGUUGAAAAUUGAUUUUCGGAUAUUUUAACGCCACGUCCGAGGAUCAUUUUUGUUUGCCUGAGUGACUGUGGGAUGGAGUUGGCCAGAAAGGUGGGAUCCCUUGGAAAAGCCCAAGCAGGAAGAGCUGAUGUUUGGUGACAGGGGUUUCAGCCACUCCAUCCAGGUGUGUUUUAAAGAGCACCAUUGUGGGGGUGGUGUUUGUGCCGUGGCAAACUCAGGGCUGUUCCAGGGUUAUUCCAGUAAGAGCUGCUCACACGAACUCCUGCAAACAGCUUUGCUUCAUUUUGGGGUGUUUUUCACAGCAGUCAAAUACUGGUGCUUUAUUUAUGACACCAAUAAUACUCCUGUGCCACAACAGGACACUUUUAUUGCUGGGUUUGAAGUAUUUGCAUUUUUAUUUAAAAGUCUGAGCCAAGCAGCAAUUGGAAAAAAAAUCUCAACAGGAAUAAAUAAGAAUUUGACAAAAAUAUGCAUUGGGGGCCCCUAAAGAGCUGAGCAGCAGAGAAGGGAGCUCAGCCUUUCCAUCCAGGGUGGCUUCAGGAGGGGAGGGGGGGCAGUGGUGGCCAUGUGGGUCACUGGGGUAGCCUCCCCCUCACCCACAUUGCUCAGCCCUGGAAAUGGUUUCACAAACAGUGGUUUAUGACUGAGUUUUGCUAUUACAAACACUUUUAUUUUCUCUUUCUGGUACAGUCUCUUGAAAGAAGUCACCUUCCAGGAGCUGUAGCUGAAAAUACCGAGCAAUGGAGCUGCCAAUCUACCCUUUUUUUUUGGUAAAAGCUUGAAGUAGUCUUAUAUUGUCCACUUAUUUGGUUCAGGAAAGAGUUCAAAGCUCAUCCCAGCAGAUGAAAAAAAAAAAAUCUCAGAAAAAUCCAAGCAGUACCUGUGUUAAAUUCUAGUCUCACAGAAAAAGAAAGGCUGAGAGAAAUUAUUAGUGUUAAUAAUAGGAAUAUAGGAGCUGAAGGUAUCAUUUUGCAGGUAAGGAACAGAUACUCACACUGGUGCAGGAGCUUUUCCCUUCCUUGUGGUGGAUUCCCAUCCUUUAAACAGCCAAACUGGGGCUUUCUAGUUGAGAUUCUCGGAAUUGCCCUCUGGAGGCACCUGUCUGUUCCUCUGAAUACUUUAACUGAAAUCAAUAGCAAGAGGAUGCUCUUCGGUAUUUGACCAAAAAACAGGCCCCUCAUAUCUUUUUUCACAGUAAUCUUAAGAGAUAUAAUCCUUCAACUGAUGCUGGAGGAUUUUGUUCCUGUACCCACCCGACAUAUGUUUAUGCAUUUUAAUAUGAAAGCCUCUCUAAUGGCUCCCAUUCAAAUCCCAGGCUAAUGAUGCAAAGUGUGCAGCAGGAAAUGCAGCAAUUCCUCACAGUUUCUGUCGCUGCAUUUUACUUACGGCUCCCGUUCAGCAACCUGGCACAAACCUCUUACAAAACUGAGAAAACAGAGUUUCAGAGAAAGCCCUUAAAUUAUGUGCUUGAUUUUCUUAAUAUAGAAGAGGGGUUCAGUUUGGGGUUUGGGUCCACCACCAGCUCAGUACUAAUUUGCAGGGGGCUUGUUUGGGAAGUGAUCCCCGGAGCGAAGGUGGGAGUCGCUGGCAGUGGGAGAUCCCAUCCCUGCAGCUUGUCCUGGAUUCAUUCCCAGGUGGCUGCAGCCAGUGUGCUGAUGCUGGGAAGGUUAUGCUUCCAGCCCCAGGUGGGAGUGGGCAUGAGGUUUGCUUUGCAGAGAGGGCACAGCCUUGUUGGAUGCUCAGGAUCCCUCCCGUCCGGAGCCGGCUCUGGGUGACGCUCUUUGGGAAGAUGGGGCUGGGGAAAAAUAACCAAAGGAGGAAUGCUCUGCAGAAAUGCCUGGGAUACCCACCCAGAGGUGUAGGCACACUUAUGUAUUUCAGAGAGCUGCCUGCCUGCUGCUCUCCCCAGGGGGGACACGGGUGUCCCCUGCCCUGGAGGGGGCUGUGGGUGCCGUGCCCUGCCCAGGGACACACACGCUUUUUCCACCCUUGCCUUUUCUUUUUCCCUUGUCACAUUUAUCCUCUCAAAAUGUUGAAUUAUGUUUGCAGGCAUGGAAAGAUGGAAUUUCAGUGCCUGUUCCCCACUAUGUGUAAGGGGGAGCCGGGGGUUGGUGGCUGAACAGGAGCACAGCUCCAAGGAACAGGAAUUUUGUCUGGUCCAGCAGUGCCGGAUGCAGCGUAAAAACUUACAGCCACCAAUCCCCACCGCGACUGCGUUUCUUUGCUAAUGGAAACAAAAGCACCAGGGAAGAAACGUGGUCAGAGAUGAGGGAGAAUGAUCCCUGGGAUGUCCCAUCACCUGAAACUGAGAGCAAGCACAGCAAGGAGAGCACCCUUUGUACACCAAACCAGGGCUGAAGGUGAGGUCUAAGCACACACUGAGGUGUUCUCACUUCUUCUGUACCAUAACACCUGGGUCCCGUGGUCACAGAUUUACUUAAACCAUGUCUGGCACUGUACAAACCCAGCACAGCAAAAUCUUUCCUGCUGCAGGGAGUGGCCUCAGAGGUGCCUCUCACCACGGGUGCUGGUGGGGAUGGUGCCAGUCCUCGUGCAGGUGGUGUUGGUUUGCAGGAUCGGGGCAGAACUUGAAAAGAAUUCGUUUUCAUACCCUGUGCUUUGGGAAACUUGGUGUGGAGUAAGGAGGUGUCCUUGGCAAAACAGAAGAGAAGAGAACAAAACUAGGCUUCAGCACCAAAGUAGAGGUUUGGGGGAAGAAUCUUUCAUUGAAUCCCAGACUGGUUUGGGUGGGAAGGGACCUUAAAGCCCAUCCAGUGCCACCCCCUGCCAUGGGCAGGGACACCUUCCACCAGCCCAGGUUGCUGCAAGCCUGUCCAACCUGGCCUUGGACACUUCCAGGGAUCCAGGGGCAGCCACAGCUUGGGCCUUUAUCUCUAGAAAACACACUUUACUGAGAACAAAAUGUGUGGGACCACAAACACCUCCAUUUUUGUUUACAGCUGACAAACACUGUCCAGCCAGAGAGCUGCAGUUCCUGCUGCCCCACCUCAGGCUCUGGACACAGAAACAGUUCAGGAGUCCAGGCUCUGGCUGGCAGUUUAACUUAGCUGUCCCAUCUUUUGGAAGACAGCUGGGCUCGAGCAGAGAGCAGGGAAGGAGCAGAGGGCUCAGUGCAUGGUCAGCUUGGUCUUGGCUCACACCAUCCAAAGUCACUCGUCCUGCCCAGCAUGGGCCCAGCUUAAAGAGGUGAUAUUCAGGUCUUGCUACAGAUACUCAGGUUUGGAUCUCUUCCCCCUGUGCCAGGGAUGCCCAGAAAUACCAAAACAUUUAUUAUCAUUUCAAAUUUCAAGAUUUCUAUGAAGUAUUAUGACAAAAUACCCCUGAUUUAUUUACCAGGGUAAUUCUAAAAGUAUUUUCAUUUUAGCAUUAAAUUGUACAUGUAUUCCACAAAAAAAAAAAAAAGCAUCAUAAGGGGUGAUAAAAAUAUCUUUGAAAAUAUCGUGUAUCAUUAAAAAAAACGCUUCAGUUUUUCUUUCCUUAAGGGCCAGGUUUGAGCAUAAAGGGACUGAUAACUCAUGUCCAGCCCUGCCUGAUGUGGCUCUGUUCAGGGGAAGGCACAGAUGUGGUGUCCCCAGAGGUGUCACCCCCUGGACACCUUCAGAGCAUCCUUCCAUGGCACCCACAGGGGCAGAUGUUUUACCUCUCCCCCACCUUUGUAUCCCCAGUGUUGGGCAGGGAGACAUUUCCAUGGCUGCACGUGCACGUGUGUUUAUACCCAGAAGUCUCAAUCCCAGCCUGAAUUUCCAGGAGAUAAAUCCGUGUUUGCAGUUGGCAGGAAAAAUGCCUAAAUGUCACUGGGAUAUUUCUUACCUGCUCCUAACAAUUAUUAUUUUUAGGAGGAUCAUUAUGCAGUAGGGUCCUUUCUCCACUUAAGCUGAAAUAUUUCCCUCCCGUAGGAAAACCACAAGUCAACACCUUUUAAGAUUGGGAUUUAUUUUUUUCCCCCCCAUCUCAUCCUUCACUCCUGCAUCAUU
Long non-coding RNA from Pseudopipra pipra, 8214 nucleotides. RefSeq lists it as uncharacterized. The record is from RefSeq and is a predicted model, not a curated record. NCBI's taxonomy places the organism in Eukaryota, Metazoa, Chordata, Aves, Passeriformes, Pipridae. The transcript has 3 exons.